UCUGUGUUUGUAGUUGCUGGUCCGUCUGUGUAUCCACCAUGUCUCAUCCGUGUGUUUCCCUGCUGCCAACCGUCAUCUGUUUUCUGCUCGCUGUUAUUCGUGUUCAGGUUUGUGUUCUGGUUCAGGCUCAGUAGUUUAGUUAUCCCAGUAUAGUUUAGUUCUCCGUUUACCAUUUUGUCCAUCUCUUUUGUUGUGUUUAAUAAACCACCCUCACACCUUUACAAGUGCCUGCAUUUGGAUCCUCCUUUAAUUCCCACACGGCUCAUUUCACUCGCCAUGACAGAAAUAGCCUAUAAGAAAAUGCACACUGCCUAUUUUGGCAAACUUCAAAAGAACAAAGAUCAUUUGUCAUGGUCUGUGGUCCUGUGUCUGUGGAGUCUGUGUGUGAUGCUCGGGUAGCCACACCCCCGGGCUGGGCCAUCACCGGCACACCUGCUUUCCAUCGGGGUGAUUACCUGGAGGACUACUUAACCCCGCGCUGACGGAUGCUCCACGCCAGUCCGUUUAUCACCUCACUGUGAUUUCGAUCCGGCGUCCAGUGUCUGACACCUGCCUGUCCUCCUGCUCGAUUGGAUCACCCGGUGCAUCAUCUGGCCUCGUCACUAACUCCACGGAUUCCCUUCUCACGGACUUUCCCACUUCCCUCCCGAGCCCACGGUCCCACUCCGAUUCCUCCCACGGUCCCGAUUCCGGCUUCCCCGCGUCAUUUGUUUCCCCGGGUUUUUCAGUUCCUUGUUUGCUCCUCUGGUUUUCCCGGGUCGCCUUUUGUUAUUUAUAAUAAAGUGUCUUUUCC
Long non-coding RNA from Oreochromis aureus, 793 nucleotides. RefSeq lists it as uncharacterized. The record is from RefSeq and is a predicted model, not a curated record. The transcript is spliced from 3 exons. Lineage: Eukaryota; Metazoa; Chordata; Actinopteri; Cichliformes; Cichlidae.